AACGAACGCUGGCGGCAUGCUUAACACAUGCAAGUCGAACGAGACCUUCGGGUCUAGUGGCGCACGGGUGCGUAACGCGUGGGACUCUGCCCUUAGGUACGGAGUAACUCAGAGAAAUUUGUGCUAAUACCGUAUGAUGUCGAAAGACCAAAGAUUUAUCGCCUAAGGAUGAGCCCGCGUAAGUUUAGCUUGUUGGUGAGGUAAAAGCUCACCAAGGCGACGGUCUUUAGCCGGUCUGGGAGGAUGAUCAACCACAGUGGGACUAAGACACGGCCAAGACUCCUACAGGAGGCAGCAGUGGGGAAUAUUGAACAAGGGGCGAAAGGCUGAUCCAGCAAUGCCGCGUGGGUGAUGAAGGCCGUAGUGUUGUAAAGCUCUUUGACCAGGGAUGAUAAUGACAGUACCUGGAGAAUAAGGUCCGGCUAACUCCGUGCCAGCAGCCGCGGUAA
Molecule: ribosomal RNA, 449 nt
Filed under: uncultured bacterium
Lineage: Bacteria
Description: partial 16S ribosomal RNA
Rfam family: Bacterial small subunit ribosomal RNA
Source: RNAcentral